This 402-nucleotide ribosomal RNA is filed under the name uncultured bacterium. Its description in RNAcentral is "partial 16S ribosomal RNA". It matches the Rfam family "Bacterial small subunit ribosomal RNA", at positions 355 to 774 of the family's 1533-position model. The record is from RNAcentral.
UGGGGAAUAUUGGACAAUGGGCGAAAGCCUGAUCCAGCCAUGCCGCAUGAGUGAAGAAGGCCUUUGGGUUGUAAAGCUCUUUUAGUGAGGAAGAUAGUGACGGUACUCACAGAAGAAGUCCUGGCUAACUCCGUGCCAGCAGCCGCGGUAAUACGGAGAGGGCUAGCGUUAUUCGGAAUUAUUGGGCGUAAAGGGCGCGUAGGCUGGUUAAUAAGUUAAAAGUGAAAUCCCGAGGCUUAACCUUGGAAUUGCUUUUAAAACUAUUAAUCUAGAGAUUGAAAGAGGAUAGAGGAAUUCCUGAUGUAGAGGUAAAAUUCGUAAAUAUUAGGAGGAACACCAGUGGCGAAGGCGUCUAUCUGGUUCAAAUCUGACGCUGAAGCGCGAAGGCGUGGGGAGCAAACA